Molecule: ribosomal RNA, 497 nt
Filed under: uncultured bacterium
Lineage: Bacteria
Description: partial 16S ribosomal RNA
Rfam family: Bacterial small subunit ribosomal RNA
Source: RNAcentral
GAUGAACGCUGGCGGCGUGCCUAAUACAUGCAAGUCGAGCGAACAGACGAGGAGCUUGCUCCUCUGACGUUAGCGGCGGACGGGUGAGUAACACGUGGAUAACCUACCUAUAAGACUGGUAUAACUUCGGGAAACCGGAGCUAAUACCGGAUAAUAUAUUGAACCGCAUGGUUCAAUAGUGAAAGACGGUUUUGCUGUCACUUAUAGAUGGAUCCGCGCCGCAUUAGCUAGUUGGUAAGUUAACGGCUUACCAAGGCAACGAUGCGUAGCCUAACUGAGAGAGUGGUCGGCCACACUGGAACUGAGACACGGUCCAGACUACUGCGGGAGGCAGCAGUAGGGAAUCUUCCGCAAUGGGCGAAAGCUUGACGGAGCAACGCCGCGUGAGUGAUGAAGGUCUUCGGAUCGUAAAACUCUGUUAUUAGGGAAGAACAAAUGUGUAAGUAACUAUGCACGUCUUGACGGUACCUAAUCAGAAAGCCACGGCUAACGACGUG